RNAcentral lists this transfer RNA (87 nucleotides) under Candidatus Pelearchaeum maunauluense. Its description in RNAcentral is "tRNA-Ser". It matches the Rfam family "tRNA". From Rfam's summary of the family: Transfer RNA (tRNA) molecules are approximately 80 nucleotides in length. Their secondary structure includes four short double-helical elements and three loops (D, anti-codon, and T loops). Further hydrogen bonds mediate the characteristic L-shaped molecular structure. tRNAs have two regions of fundamental functional importance: the anti-codon, which is responsible for specific mRNA codon recognition, and the 3' end, to which the tRNAs corresponding amino acid is attached (by aminoacyl-tRNA synthetases). tRNAs cope with the degeneracy of the genetic code in two manners: having more than one tRNA (with a specific anti-codon) for a particular amino acid; and 'wobble' base-pairing, i.e. permitting non-standard base-pairing at the 3rd anti-codon position. Lineage: Archaea; Thermoproteati; Nitrososphaerota; Candidatus Caldarchaeales; Candidatus Calditenuaceae. The record is from RNAcentral.
GCCGGGGUCGGGUAGUCCGGCUAGCUCGCCGGCCUCGAGAGCCGGUGGCCUUCUCGGGCCGCGUGGGUUCAAAUCCCACCCCCGGCG